GAAAGCCGUGUGAGGGAGAACCUCAUGCACGGUUUGAUGUGGCAGGUGAUGGAAUCGUGAAUAGCGCGCCAUCACUUGACCCUAC
This 85-nucleotide non-coding RNA is filed under the name [Clostridium] polysaccharolyticum. Lineage: Bacteria; Bacillati; Bacillota; Clostridia; Lachnospirales; Lachnospiraceae. The record is from RNAcentral.